UACGAAGGGGGCUAGCGUUGCUCGGAAUCACUGGGCGUAAAGGGCGUGUAGGCGGUCCGCUAAGUCUGAUGUGAAAGCCCGGGGCUCGCCCCCGGAAGGGCAUUGGAAACUGGCGGACUCGAGUCCCGGAGAGGAAGGUGGAAUUCCUGGUGUAGCGGUGAAAUGCGUAGAUAUCAGGAGGAAUACCGGUGGCGAAGGCGGCCUUCUGGACGGUGACUGACGCUGAGGAGCGAAAGCGUGGGGAGCGAACAGG
This 253-nucleotide ribosomal RNA is filed under the name uncultured bacterium. Its description in RNAcentral is "partial 16S ribosomal RNA". It matches the Rfam family "Bacterial small subunit ribosomal RNA", at positions 524 to 776 of the family's 1533-position model. The record is from RNAcentral.